CUUGGUACUUUCGAUCAGCUUUCGAUUCACCCUGCGGCUACUGCUGCGGCUGCCUAUAACUAUUGUGAUUAAGACAAAUGAUCCAUGUUGCAUGGCAAUUAUUUGUUAUCUUUUUUUGGCGCGCGUACCCGCAAAUCUUGAACCGUGUUAAAAUGUUCGAACUCAUCACCGCCGUCUAGCCGUCUUUUUUUUUUUUUGAAUCUCCGUUGUGAUCUAGCCGUCUUUGCACAGCUAAUCUUGUCUGUAGUCUGGAUACGCGCGUAGCCAAGCAUAGAAUUGUGGGGACAAACGCACAGAGGGGAUUGUUGGUGUUGGUGUGUUUUGGCUGCUCAUCGUGGUCUUGGCGACGACGGUUAGGCCUUGUUUAGAUGCACAAAAAAACCCAAAACUUUAUAAAAUUUUCCAUCAGAUCGAAUCUUACGGUACAUGCAUAGAAUAUUAAAUAUAGAUAAAAAAGACAACUAAUUACACAGUUUACCUGACUCGAACAAGUGGAUGGUUGUAAAAAAAAUUAUGACCAUCAUUAGUUAUUACUCUCUCAAUCUAAAAAAAUACAAUUCUAACGUAUGGAGCCAAAGGAAAUAAUCUG
RNAcentral lists this long non-coding RNA (589 nucleotides) under Sorghum bicolor (sorghum). RNAcentral describes it as "long non-coding RNA (SBIC_LNC002009)". The record is from RNAcentral. Lineage: Eukaryota; Viridiplantae; Streptophyta; Magnoliopsida; Poales; Poaceae.